This 492-nucleotide ribosomal RNA is filed under the name uncultured bacterium. RNAcentral's name for it is "partial 16S ribosomal RNA". It matches the Rfam family "Bacterial small subunit ribosomal RNA", at positions 29 to 507 of the family's 1533-position model. The record is from RNAcentral.
AGUGAACGCUGGCGGUAGGCCUAACACAUGCAAGUCGAACGGCAGCACAGUAAGAGCUUGCUCUUACGGGUGGCGAGUGGCGGACGGGUGAGGAAUACAUCGGAAUCUACUUUUUCGUGGGGGAUAACGUAAGGAAACUUACGCUAAUACCGCAUACGACCUACGGGUGAAAGCAGGGGAUCUUCGGACCUUGCGCGAUUGAAUGAGCCGAUGUCGGAUUAGCUAGUUGGCGGGGUAAAGGCCCACCAAGGCGACGAUCCGUAGCUGGUCUGAGAGGAUGAUCAGCCACACUGGAACUGAGACACGGUCCAGACUCCUACGGGAGGCAGCAGUGGGGAAUAUUGGACAAUGGGCGCAAGCCUGAUCCAGCCAUACCGCGUGGGUGAAGAAGGCCUUCGGGUUGUAAAGCCCUUUUGUUGGGAAAGAGAAGCAGCAGGUUAAUACCCCGCUGUUCUGACGGUACCCAAAGAAUAAGCACCGGCUAACUUCGUG